GAUGAACGCUGGCGGCGUGCUUAACACAUGCAAGUCGAACGGAAAGGCCCAAGCUUGCUAGGGUACUCGAGUGGCGAACGGGUGAGUAACACGUGGGUGAUCUGCCCUGCACUUCGGGAUAAGCCUGGGAAACUGGGUCUAAUACUGGAUAGGACCACUUCUUGGAUGGUGUGGUGGAAAGUUUUUUCGGUGUGGGAUGAGCUCGCGGCCUAUCAGCUUGUUGGUGGGGUAAUGGCCUACCAAGGCGUCGACGGGUAGCCGGCCUGAGAGGGUGUACGGCCACAUUGGGACUGAGAUACGGCCCAGACUCCUACGGGAGGCAGCAGUGGGGAAUAUUGCACAAUGGGCGCAAGCCUGAUGCAGCGACGCCGCGUGGGGGAUGACGGCCUUCGGGUUGUAAACUCCUUUCGCUAGGGACGAAGCGUUUUUGUGACGGUACCUGGAGAAGAAGCACCGGCUAACUACGUG
Molecule: ribosomal RNA, 468 nt
Filed under: uncultured bacterium
Lineage: Bacteria
Description: partial 16S ribosomal RNA
Rfam family: Bacterial small subunit ribosomal RNA
Source: RNAcentral